GAUGAACGCUGGCGGCGUGCCUAAUACAUGCAAGUCGAGCGAACGGACGAGAAGCUUGCUUCUCUGAUGUUAGCGGCGGACGGGUGAGUAACACGUGGAUAACCUACCUAUAAGACUGGGAUAACUUCGGGAAACCGGAGCUAAUACCGGAUAAUAUUUUGAACCGCAUGGUUCAAAAGUGAAAGACGGUCUUGCUGUCACUUAUAGAUGGAUCCGCGCUGCAUUAGCUAGUUGGUAAGGUAACGGCUUACCAAGGCAACGAUGCAUAGCCGACCUGAGAGGGUGAUCGGCCACACUGGAACUGAGACACGGUCCAGACUCCUACGGGAGGCAGCAGUAGGGAACCUUCCGCAAUGGGCGAAAGCCUGACGGAGCAACGCCGCGUGAGUGAUGAAGGUCUUCGGAUCGUAAAACUCUGUUAUUAGGGAAGAACAUAUGUGUAAGUAACUGUGCACAUCUUGACGGUACCUAAUCAGAAAGCCACGGCUAACUACGUGCCAGCAGCCGCAGUAAUACGUAGGUGGCAAGCGUUAUCCGGAAUUAUUGGGCGUAAAGCGCGCGUAGGCGGUUUUUUAAGUCUGAUGUGAAAGCCCACGGCUCAACCGUGGAGGGUCAUUGGAAACUGGAAAACUUGAGUGCAGAAGAGGAAAGUGGAAUUCCAUGUGUAGCGGUGAAAUGCGCAGAGAUAUGGAGGAACACCAGUGGCGAAGGCGACUUUCUGGUCUGUAACUGACGCUGAUGUGCGAAAGCGUGGGGAUCAAACAGGAUUAGAUACCCUGGUAGUCCACGCCGUAAACGAUGAGUGCUAAGUGUUAGGGGGUUUCCGCCCCUUAGUGCUGCAGCUAACGCAUUAAGCACUCCGCCUGGGGAGUACGACCGCAAGGUUGAAACUCAAAGGAAUUGACGGGGACCCGCACAAGCGGUGGAGCAUGUGGUUUAAUUCGAAGCAACGCGAAGAACCUUACCAAAUCUUGACAUCCUUUGACAACUCUAGAGAUAGAGCUUUCCCCUUCGGGGGACAAAGUGACAGGUGGUGCAUGGUUGUCGUCAGCUCGUGUCGUGAGAUGUUGGGUUAAGUCCCGCAACGAGCGCAACCCUUAAGCUUAGUUGCCAUCAUUAAGUUGGGCACUCUAAGUUGACUGCCGGUGACAAACCGGAGGAAGGUGGGGAUGACGUCAAAUCAUCAUGCCCCUUAUGAUUUGGGCUACACACGUGCUACAAUGGACAAUACAAAGGGCAGCGAAACCGUGAGGUCAAGCAAAUCCCAUAAAGUUGUUCUCAGUUCGGAUUGUAGUCUGCAACUCGACUACAUGAAGCUGGAAUCGCUAGUAAUCGUAGAUCAGCAUGCUACGGUGAAUACGUUCCCGGGUCU
RNAcentral lists this ribosomal RNA (1372 nucleotides) under uncultured bacterium. RNAcentral describes it as "bacterial SSU rRNA". It matches the Rfam family "Bacterial small subunit ribosomal RNA", at positions 28 to 1381 of the family's 1533-position model. The record is from RNAcentral.